RNAcentral lists this transfer RNA (71 nucleotides) under Dendronephthya gigantea. RNAcentral's name for it is "tRNA-Gly". It matches the Rfam family "tRNA". From Rfam's summary of the family: Transfer RNA (tRNA) molecules are approximately 80 nucleotides in length. Their secondary structure includes four short double-helical elements and three loops (D, anti-codon, and T loops). The record is from RNAcentral. Lineage: Eukaryota; Metazoa; Cnidaria; Anthozoa; Malacalcyonacea; Nephtheidae.
GCGUUGAUGUGUAAUGGUUAGCAUUGCUGCCUUCCAAGCAGUAGAUCUGGGUUCGAUUCCCGGUCAACGCA